AUGCCCCGCAGUAAAAAAGAAAGUAAACCGCCCGCCCGCACGACCUCCUCCUCCUCCUCCCGCAGCCGCGCCGUUCGCCUCCCGCAGCCGCGCCCUUCACCGCCUCCUCGCGCCGCCGGAGCCACGGGAAGCGGCCGCGGGUCGCCGGGAGCCUCCCCGACCGCGGGAGCCCGCCCCGCUCCCGCCGCGGCUCGCCGGGAGCCUCCCCUGCCGCCGAAGCCGCCCCGCCGCAGCUUGGCCUCCGCCACUCCGCCACUCCGCCGGAGCGAGUCUCUCUCCUCUUCUCUUGGGAUGGGACGCCUUCUCUCCUCUGCUCCCAGCCGGAUCCAAUCCACCUCGCCCCGGCAUGCAGCCACGGAAGGCCAGGUCCGUGCGCCUCUUUCCCAUGGCCAUGGAGUCGCCGCAGCCGCCAUGGAAUGCCUGAAUGUCGUCAAGAUGCACGCAGGUGCAGCACCUACACCGAUGGCUGCUCUUGAGACACAGACAACAUAG
This 492-nucleotide ribosomal RNA is filed under the name Triticum aestivum (bread wheat). Its description in RNAcentral is "partial small subunit ribosomal RNA". Lineage: Eukaryota; Viridiplantae; Streptophyta; Magnoliopsida; Poales; Poaceae. The record is from RNAcentral.